Molecule: transfer RNA, 88 nt
Filed under: mine drainage metagenome
Description: tRNA-Ser
Rfam family: tRNA
About the family: Transfer RNA (tRNA) molecules are approximately 80 nucleotides in length. Their secondary structure includes four short double-helical elements and three loops (D, anti-codon, and T loops).
Source: RNAcentral
GGAGGGAUGACAGAGCGGACGAAUGUACCGGUCUUGAAAACCGGCGUGGGCUUGCCCACCGUGGGUUCGAAUCCCACUCCCUCCGCCG